RNAcentral lists this ribosomal RNA (1370 nucleotides) under uncultured bacterium. RNAcentral describes it as "bacterial SSU rRNA". It matches the Rfam family "Bacterial small subunit ribosomal RNA", at positions 28 to 1381 of the family's 1533-position model. The record is from RNAcentral.
GAUGAACGCUGGCGGCGUGCCUAAUACAUGCAAGUCGAGCGAACGGACGAGAAGCUUGCUUCUCUGAUGUUAGCGGCGGACGGGUGAGUAACACGUGGAUAACCUACCUAUAAGACUGGGAUAACUUCGGGAAACCGGAGCUAAUACCGGAUAAUAUUUUGAACCGCAUGGUUCAAAAGUGAAAGACGGUCUUGCUGUCACUUAUAGAUGGAUCCGCGCUGCAUUAGCUAGUUGGUAAGGUAACGGCUUACCAAGGCAACGAUACAUAGCCGACCUGAGAGGGUGAUCGGCCACACUGGAACUGAGACACGGUCCAGACUCCUGCGGGAGGCAGCAGUAGGGAAUCUUCCGCAAUGGGCGAAAGCCUGACGGAGCAACGCCGCGUGAGUGAUGAAGGUCUUCGGAUCGUAAAACUCUGUUAUUAGGGAAGAACAUAUGUGUAAGUAACUGUGCACAUCUUGACGGUACCUAAUCAGAAAGCCACGGCUAACUACGUGCCAGCAGCCGCGGUAAUACGUAGGUGGCAAGCGUUAUCCGGAAUUAUUGGGCGUAAAGCGCGCGUAGCGGUUUUUUAGUCUGAUGUGAAAGCCCACGGCUCAACCUUGGAGGGUCAUUGGAAACUGGAAAACUUGAGUGCAGAAGAGGAAAGUGGAAUUCCAUGUGUAGCGGUGAAAUGCGCAGAGAUAUGGAGGAACACCAGUAGCGAAGGCGACUUUCUGGUCUGUAACUGACGCUGAUGUGCGAAAGCGUGGGGAUCAAACAGGAUUAGAUACCCUGGUAGUCCACGCCGUAAACGAUGAGUGCUAAGUGUUAGGGGGUUUCCGCCCCUUAGUGCUGCAGCUAACGCAUUAAGCACUCCGCCUGGGGAGUACGACCGCAAGGUUGAAACUCAAAGGAAUUGACGGGGACCCGCACAAGCGGUGGAGCAUGUGGUUUAAUUCGAAGCAACGCGAAGAACCUUACCAAAUCUUGACAUCCUUUGACAACUCUAGAGAUAGAGCCUUCCCCUUCGGGGGACAAAGUGACAGGUGGUGCAUGGUUGUCGUCAGCUCGUGUCGUGAGAUGUUGGGUUAAGUCCCGCAACGAGCGCAACCCUUAAGCUUAGUUGCCAUCAUUAAGUUGGGCACUCUAAGUUGACUGCCGGUGACAAACCGGAGGAAGGUGGGGAUGACGUCAAAUCAUCAUGCCCCUUAUGAUUUGGGCUACACACGUGCUACAAUGGACAAUACAAAGGGCAGCGAAACCGCGAGGUCAAGCAAAUCCCAUAAAGUUGUUCUCAGUUCGGAUUGUAGUCUGCAACUCGACUACAUGAAGCUGGAAUCGCUAGUAAUCGUAGAUCAGCAUGCUACGGUGAAUACGUUCCCGGGUCU